RNAcentral lists this ribosomal RNA (494 nucleotides) under uncultured bacterium. RNAcentral's name for it is "bacterial SSU rRNA". It matches the Rfam family "Bacterial small subunit ribosomal RNA", at positions 28 to 524 of the family's 1533-position model. The record is from RNAcentral.
GACGAACGCUGGCGGCGUGCUUAACACAUGCAAGUCACGGGGGCCCGACGGGCGAACUCUGGGCGAACCGGCGAACGGGUGCGUAACACGUGAGCAACCUGCCUAUCUGCGGGGGAGUAGCCGGCCCAACGGCCGGGUAAUACCGCAUACGUUCACGAGGGGACAUCCCCUUGUGAGGAAAACUCCGGUACAGAUAGAGGGGCUCGCGGCCUAUCAGCUAGUUGGUGAGGUAACGGCUCACCAAGGCGACGACGGGUAGCUGGUCUGAGAGGAUGGCCAGCCACAUUGGGACUGCGACACGGCCAGACUCCUACUGGAGGCAGCAGUGGGGAAUAUUGCGCAAUGGACGAAAGUCUGACGCAGCGACGCCGCGUGUGGGAUGAAGCUCUUCGGGGUGUAAACACUGUUGCCGGGAAGAAUCUCCUGAUUUAUCAGGAUUGACGGGUACCGGGUGAGGAAGCACCGGCUAACUCUGUGCCAGCCGCCGCCGUAAC